RNAcentral lists this ribosomal RNA (624 nucleotides) under Clostridioides difficile. RNAcentral describes it as "bacterial LSU rRNA". It matches the Rfam family "Bacterial large subunit ribosomal RNA", at positions 2129 to 2751 of the family's 2925-position model. The record is from RNAcentral. Lineage: Bacteria; Bacillati; Bacillota; Clostridia; Peptostreptococcales; Peptostreptococcaceae.
ACUACAUGUACAGGAUAGGUGGGAGGCUUUGAAACCAGGACGCCAGUUUUGGCGGAGCCAUCCUUGGGAUACCACCCUUGUAGUACUGGGACUCUAACCAUAGGCCAUGAAUCUGGUCUUGGGACACUGUCAGGUGGGCAGUUUGACUGGGGCGGUCGCCUCCCAAAAGGUAACGGAGGCGCUCAAAGGUUCUCUCAGUACGGUCGGAAAUCGUACGUAGAGUGUAAAGGCAAAAGAGAGCUUGAUUGCAAGACAUACAGGUCGAGCAAGGAUGAAAAUCGGACUUAGUGAUCCGGUGGUUCUGCGUGGAAGGGCCAUCGCUCAACGGAUAAAAGCUACCCUGGGGAUAACAGGCUUAUCUCCCCCAAGAGUCCACAUCGACGGGGAGGUUUGGCACCUCGAUGUCGGCUCAUCACAUCCUGGGGCUGUAGUAGGUCCCAAGGGUUGGGCUGUUCGCCCAUUAAAGUGGUACGCGAGCUGGGUUCAGAACGUCGUGUGACAGUUCGGUCCCUAUCCGUCGCAGGCGUAGGAAAUUUGAGAAGACCUGUCCUUAGUACGAGAGGACCGGGAUGGACGUACCUCUGGUGUACCAGUUGUCCUGCCAAGGGCAUGGCUGGGUAGCUA